UACAGAGGUGGCAAGCGUUGUUCGGAAUUACUGGGCGUAAAGGGCGCGUAGGCGGCCCGUCAAGUCCCGUGUGAAAGCCCCCGGCUCAACCGGGGAACUGCACGGGAAACUAGCAGGCUUGAGUUCGGGAGAGGGAAGCGGAAUUUCGGGUGUAGCGGUGAAAUGCGCAGAUAUCCGAAGGAACACCGGUGGCGAAGGCGGCUUCCUGGACCGACACUGACGCUGAGGCACGAAAGCGUGGGGAUCAAACAGG
Molecule: ribosomal RNA, 253 nt
Filed under: uncultured bacterium
Lineage: Bacteria
Description: partial 16S ribosomal RNA
Rfam family: Bacterial small subunit ribosomal RNA
Source: RNAcentral